Molecule: ribosomal RNA, 482 nt
Filed under: uncultured bacterium
Lineage: Bacteria
Description: partial 16S ribosomal RNA
Rfam family: Bacterial small subunit ribosomal RNA
Source: RNAcentral
AUUGAACGCUGGCGGCAUGCCUUACACAUGCAAGUCGAACGGUAACGGGCCUUCGGGUGCCGACGAGUGGCGAACGGGUGAGUAAUACAUCGGAACGUUCCCGAUCGUGGGGGAUAACGAGGCGAAAGCUUUGCUAAUACCGCAUACGAUCUACGGAUGAAAGCAGGGGACCGCAAGGCCUUGCGCGGACGGAGCGGCCGAUGGCAGAUUAGGUAGUUGGUGGGAUAAAAGCUUACCAAGCCGACGAUCUGUAGCUGGUCUGAGAGGAUGAUCAGCCACACUGGGACUGAGACACGGCCCAGACUCCUACGGGAGGCAGCAGUGGGGAAUUUUGGACAAUGGGCGCAAGCCUGAUCCAGCCAUGCCGCGUGCAGGAUGAAGGCCUUCGGGUUGUAAACUGCUUUUGUACGGAACGAAAAGCCUUCUUUUAAUACAGGAGGGUCAUGACGGUACCGUAAGAAUAAGCACCGGCUAACUAUGUG